UUAGGUGACUAUGGUGGUGGUGUUCACCUCUUCCCAUUCCGAACAGAGAAGUUAAGCCCACCCGCGCUGAUGGUACUGCCCUAACCGGUGGAAGAGUAAGUCGUUGCCUAUU
RNAcentral lists this ribosomal RNA (112 nucleotides) under Bacteroidales bacterium. Lineage: Bacteria; Pseudomonadati; Bacteroidota; Bacteroidia; Bacteroidales. The record is from RNAcentral.